This 253-nucleotide ribosomal RNA is filed under the name uncultured bacterium. RNAcentral describes it as "partial 16S ribosomal RNA". It matches the Rfam family "Bacterial small subunit ribosomal RNA", at positions 524 to 776 of the family's 1533-position model. The record is from RNAcentral.
UACAGAGGUCUCAAGCGUUGUUCGGAUUCAUUGGGCGUAAAGGGUGCGUAGGCGGUGAGGUAAGUCGGAUGUGAAAUCCCGGGGCUUAACCCCGGAACUGCAUUCGAUACUGCCUUGCUUGAGCACUGGAGAGGAGACUGGAAUUUACGGUGUAGCAGUGAAAUGCGUAGAUAUCGUAAGGAAGACCAGUGGCGAAGGCGAGUCUCUGGAACGCAACUGACGCUGAGACGCGAAAGCGUGGGGAGCAAACAGG